RNAcentral lists this ribosomal RNA (305 nucleotides) under uncultured bacterium. RNAcentral describes it as "bacterial SSU rRNA". It matches the Rfam family "Bacterial small subunit ribosomal RNA", at positions 337 to 639 of the family's 1533-position model. The record is from RNAcentral.
ACCUACGGGGGGCAGCAGUGCGGCCUCUUGGUCCCUGGCCGUCCGUCUGCCCCAGCCAUGCCGCGUGCAGGAUGACGGCUCUAUGAGUUGUAAACUGCUUUUGUACGAGAAUAAUAGUUCUUACGUGUAGGGAUUUGAAUGUAUCGUACGAAUAAGGAUCGGCUAACUCCGUGCCAGCAGCCGCGGUAAUACGGAGGAUUCGAGCGUUAUCCGGAUUUAUUGGGUUUAAAGGGUGCGUAGGCUGUUGGAUAAGUUAGAGGUCAAAUGUCGGGGCUUAACCCCGUGCCUGCCUCCGAUACUGUUCG